UAGCGCAGGGGAGCUUGCUCCCCGGGUGACGAGUGGCGGACGGGUGAGUAAUGUCUGGGGAUCUGCCCGAUGGAGGGGGAUAACUACUGGAAACGGUAGCUAAUACCGCAUAACCUCGAAAGAGCAAAGUGGGGGACCUUCGGGCCUCACACCAUCGGAUGAACCCAGAUGGGAUUAGCUAGUAGGUGGGGUAACGGCUCACCUAGGCGACGAUCCCUAGCUGGUCUGAGAGGAUGACCAGCCACACUGGAACUGAGACACGGUCCAGACUCCUACGGGAGGCAGCAGUGGGGAAUAUUGCACAAUGGGCGCAAGCCUGAUGCAGCCAUGCCGCGUGUAUGAAGAAGGCCUUCGGGUUGUAAAGUACUUUCAGCGGGGAGGAAGGGAUGAAGGUUAAUAACCUUCGUCAUUGACGUUACCCGCAGAAGAAGCACCGGCUAACUCCGUGCCAGCAGCCGCGGUAAUACGGAGGGUGCAAGCGUUAAUCGGAAUUACUGGGCGUAAAGCGCACGCAGGCGGUUAGUUAAGUCAGAUGUGAAAUCCCCGGGCUCAACCUGGGAACUGCAUUUGAAACUGGCAAGCUUGAGUCUCGUAGAGGGGGGUAGAAUUCCAGGUGUAGCGGUGAAAUGCGUAGAGAUCUGGGGGAAUACCGGUGGCGAAGGCGGCCCCCUGGACGAAGACUGACGCUCAGGUGCGAAAGCGUGGGGAGCAAACAGGAUUAGAUACCCUGGUAGUCCACGCCGUAAACGAUGUCGACUUGGAGGUUGUGCCCUUGAGGCGUGGCUUCCGGAGCUAACGCGUUAAGUCGACCGCCUGGGGAGUACGGCCGCAAGGUUAAACUCAAAUGAAUUGACGGGGGCCCGCACAAGCGGUGGAGCAUGUGGUUUAAUUCGAUGCAACGCGAAGAACCUUACCUGGCCUUGACAUCCAC
Molecule: ribosomal RNA, 931 nt
Filed under: uncultured bacterium
Lineage: Bacteria
Description: bacterial SSU rRNA
Rfam family: Bacterial small subunit ribosomal RNA
Source: RNAcentral